GACGAACGCUGGCGGCGUGCUUAACACAUGCAAGUCGAACGGAAAGGCCCUGCUUUUGUGGGGUGCUCGAGUGGCGAACGGGUGAGUAACACGUGAGUAACCUGCCCUUGACUUUGGGAUAACUUCAGGAAACUGGGGCUAAUACCGGAUAGGAGCUCCUGCUGCAUGGUGGGGGUUGGAAAGUUUCGGCGGUUGGGGAUGGACUCGCGGCUUAUCAGCUUGUUGGUGGGGUAGUGGCUUACCAAGGCUUUGACGGGUAACCGGCCUGAGAGGGUGACCGGCCAAAUGGGGAAUGGUAUACGGCCCAGCCUCCCACGGGGGGCAGCGGGGGGGAUAAUUGCACAAGGGGCGGAAGCCUGAUGACGCAACCCCGGGGGGGGGAGGAGGGCUUUCGGGUUUUAAACCCCUUUCCCCUGGGACGAAGCUGGAGGGAGGGUAAUGGGGAAAGAAGCCCCGGCAAAUCACGU
RNAcentral lists this ribosomal RNA (467 nucleotides) under uncultured bacterium. RNAcentral describes it as "partial 16S ribosomal RNA". It matches the Rfam family "Bacterial small subunit ribosomal RNA", at positions 28 to 506 of the family's 1533-position model. The record is from RNAcentral.